This 73-nucleotide transfer RNA is filed under the name Desulfobacterales bacterium. Its description in RNAcentral is "tRNA-Val". It matches the Rfam family "tRNA". Rfam says of the family: Transfer RNA (tRNA) molecules are approximately 80 nucleotides in length. Their secondary structure includes four short double-helical elements and three loops (D, anti-codon, and T loops). Lineage: Bacteria; Pseudomonadati; Thermodesulfobacteriota; Desulfobacteria; Desulfobacterales. The record is from RNAcentral.
AGGCGCGUAGCUCAGGGGCUAGAGCGCUACCCCGACACGGUAGAGGUCGUUGGUUCAAUUCCAAUCGCGCCUA